This 508-nucleotide ribosomal RNA is filed under the name uncultured Bacteroidota bacterium. RNAcentral describes it as "bacterial SSU rRNA". It matches the Rfam family "Bacterial small subunit ribosomal RNA", at positions 9 to 524 of the family's 1533-position model. Lineage: Bacteria; Pseudomonadati; Bacteroidota. The record is from RNAcentral.
GAGUUUGAUCCUGGCUCAGGAUGAACGCUAGCGGCAGCUUAAUACAUGCAAGUCGAACGGUAAAUAAUAGCAAUAUUAUGAGAGUGGCGCACGGGGAGUAACACGUAUGUAACCUACCCAUUACUGGGGCAUAGCUUCGAGAAAUCGAAAUUAAUCCCCAUAAUAUUUUAAUCAGGCAUCUGGUUUUAAUUAAAGAAUUUCGGUAAUGGAUGGCAUGCGGCCCAUUAGCUAGUUGGUAGAGGUAACGGCCUACCAAGGCUACGAUGGGUAGCGGUYUGAGAGGAUGAUCAGCCACACUGGCACUGAGACACGGGCCAGACUCCUACGGGAGCAGCAGUAGGGAAUAUUGGGCAAUGGGCGAAAGCCUGACCCAGCCANGCCGCGUGCAGGUUGACAGCUCUAUGAGUUGUAAACUGCUUUUAUUUGGAACGAAAAAAACCGAUUCUUCGGAACUGACGGUACCAGAUGAAUAAGCACCGGCUAACUACGUGCCAGCAGCCGCGGUAAU